CAACCCCUAAGCCUAGCUUAUUGUUGGGAGACCGCGGUCAGCCGCGGCUCCUCAAAGUCAGUGGCGGAGAGACGGUGUCCUCUGAGCGUAGUAAAUAACUUUCUCGCUUCUGUCAGGCGCCGGCCCCCUUGCCAUUAAACACCCAAUUUUCUAAU
RNAcentral lists this unclassified non-coding RNA (155 nucleotides) under Arthrinium puccinioides. RNAcentral describes it as "partial internal transcribed spacer 2". The record is from RNAcentral. Lineage: Eukaryota; Fungi; Ascomycota; Sordariomycetes; Amphisphaeriales; Apiosporaceae.